This 23-nucleotide small nuclear RNA is filed under the name Arabidopsis thaliana (thale cress). RNAcentral describes it as "snRNA_03499". The record is from RNAcentral. Lineage: Eukaryota; Viridiplantae; Streptophyta; Magnoliopsida; Brassicales; Brassicaceae.
AUGUAAAAGACUUUCACAUCACU